Molecule: ribosomal RNA, 383 nt
Filed under: Bacillus subtilis
Lineage: Bacteria; Bacillati; Bacillota; Bacilli; Caryophanales; Bacillaceae
Also listed under: 1 other name
Description: bacterial SSU rRNA
Rfam family: Bacterial small subunit ribosomal RNA
Source: RNAcentral
GGACGUCCCCUUCGGGGGCAGAGUGACAGGUGGUGCAUGGUUGUCGUCAGCUCGUGUCGUGAGAUGUUGGGUUAAGUCCCGCAACGAGCGCAACCCUUGAUCUUAGUUGCCAGCAUUCAGUUGGGCACUCUAAGGUGACUGCCGGUGACAAACCGGAGGAAGGUGGGGAUGACGUCAAAUCAUCAUGCCCCUUAUGACCUGGGCUACACACGUGCUACAAUGGACAGAACAAAGGGCAGCGAAACCGCGAGGUUAAGCCAAUCCCACAAAUCUGUUCUCAGUUCGGAUCGCAGUCUGCAACUCGACUGCGUGAAGCUGGAAUCGCUAGUAAUCGCGGAUCAGCAUGCCGCGGUGAAUACGUUCCCGGGUCUUGUACACACCGA